RNAcentral lists this ribosomal RNA (1274 nucleotides) under Staphylococcus aureus. RNAcentral's name for it is "bacterial SSU rRNA". It matches the Rfam family "Bacterial small subunit ribosomal RNA", at positions 8 to 1263 of the family's 1533-position model. Lineage: Bacteria; Bacillati; Bacillota; Bacilli; Caryophanales; Staphylococcaceae. The record is from RNAcentral.
AGAGUUUGAUCCUGGCUCAGGAUGAACGCUGGCGGCGUGCCUAAUACAUGCAAGUCGAGCGAACGGACGAGAAGCUUGCUUCUCUGAUGUUAGCGGCGGACGGGUGAGUAACACGUGGAUAACCUACCUAUAAGACUGGGAUAACUUCGGGAAACCGGAGCUAAUACCGGAUAAUAUUUUGAACCGCAUGGUUCAAAAGUGAAAGACGGUCUUGCUGUCACUUAUAGAUGGAUCCGCGCUGCAUUAGCUAGUUGGUAAGGUAACGGCUUACCAAGGCAACGAUGCAUAGCCGACCUGAGAGGGUGAUCGGCCACACUGGAACUGAGACACGGUCCAGACUCCUACGGGAGGCAGCAGUAGGGAAUCUUCCGCAAUGGGCGAAAGCCUGACGGAGCAACGCCGCGUGAGUGAUGAAGGUCUUCGGAUCGUAAAACUCUGUUAUUAGGGAAGAACAUAUGUGUAAGUAACUGUGCACAUCUUGACGGUACCUAAUCAGAAAGCCACGGCUAACUACGUGCCAGCAGCCGCGGUAAUACGUAGGUGGCAAGCGUUAUCCGGAAUUAUUGGGCGUAAAGCGCGCGUAGGCGGUUUUUUAAGUCUGAUGUGAAAGCCCACGGCUCAACCGUGGAGGGUCAUUGGAAACUGGAAAACUUGAGUGCAGAAGAGGAAAGUGGAAUUCCAUGUGUAGCGGUGAAAUGCGCAGAGAUAUGGAGGAACACCAGUGGCGAAGGCGACUUUCUGGUCUGUAACUGACGCUGAUGUGCGAAAGCGUGGGGAUCAAACAGGAUUAGAUACCCUGGUAGUCCACGCCGUAAACGAUGAGUGCUAAGUGUUAGGGGGUUUCCGCCCCUUAGUGCUGCAGCUAACGCAUUAAGCACUCCGCCUGGGGAGUACGACCGCAAGGUUGAAACUCAAAGGAAUUGACGGGGACCCGCACAAGCGGUGGAGCAUGUGGUUUAAUUCGAAGCAACGCGAAGAACCUUACCAAAUCUUGACAUCCUUUGACAACUCUAGAGAUAGAGCCUUCCCCUUCGGGGGACAAAGUGACAGGUGGUGCAUGGUUGUCGUCAGCUCGUGUCGUGAGAUGUUGGGUUAAGUCCCGCAACGAGCGCAACCCUUAAGCUUAGUUGCCAUCAUUAAGUUGGGCACUCUAAGUUGACUGCCGGUGACAAACCGGAGGAAGGUGGGGAUGACGUCAAAUCAUCAUGCCCCUUAUGAUUUGGGCUACACACGUGCUACAAUGGACAAUACAAAGGGCAGCGAAACCGCGAGGU